AAGUCGUAACAAGGUUUCCGUAGGUGAUGACAGUGUCACUAGCUCUGUACGAAUGGCGCAGUCACGAUCGCUGGAGGCCGACACGGCCGGCGACCGGGUCACCGGGCAUAGACCCCCCUAUCACCUUUGCAUGAAAACGGGCCUGCGCUUAAUUGUGCGGCCACCAAACUCGAACAACUGUUAACAAUGGAUAUCUUGGUUCUC
Molecule: unclassified non-coding RNA, 204 nt
Filed under: fungal sp.
Lineage: Eukaryota; Fungi
Description: partial internal transcribed spacer region
Source: RNAcentral